RNAcentral lists this transfer RNA (71 nucleotides) under Bos taurus (domestic cattle). It matches the Rfam family "tRNA". From Rfam's summary of the family: Transfer RNA (tRNA) molecules are approximately 80 nucleotides in length. Their secondary structure includes four short double-helical elements and three loops (D, anti-codon, and T loops). Further hydrogen bonds mediate the characteristic L-shaped molecular structure. tRNAs have two regions of fundamental functional importance: the anti-codon, which is responsible for specific mRNA codon recognition, and the 3' end, to which the tRNAs corresponding amino acid is attached (by aminoacyl-tRNA synthetases). tRNAs cope with the degeneracy of the genetic code in two manners: having more than one tRNA (with a specific anti-codon) for a particular amino acid; and 'wobble' base-pairing, i.e. permitting non-standard base-pairing at the 3rd anti-codon position. Lineage: Eukaryota; Metazoa; Chordata; Mammalia; Artiodactyla; Bovidae. RNAcentral also lists the same sequence under 1 other name. The record is from Rfam by way of RNAcentral.
UCCCUGGUGGCUCACUUGGUAAAGAAUCUGCCUGCAAGGCAGGAGACCCAGGUUCAAUCCUGGGUGGGGAA